UACGUAGGGUGCGAGCGUUGUCCGGAAUUAUUGGGCGUAAAGGGCUCGUAGGCGGUCUGUUUGCGUCAGGAGUGAAAACUCGGGGACUUCGAACCCCGAGCCUGGCUUCUGAUACGGGCAGACUAGAGGUAUGCAGGGGAGAACGGAAUUCCGUGGUGUAGCGGUGAAAUGCGCAGAUAUCAGGAGGAACACCGGUGGCGAAGGCGGUCGUCUCGGGCGAUUACCUGACGCUGAGGAGCGAAAGUGUGGGGAGCGAACAGG
Molecule: ribosomal RNA, 261 nt
Filed under: uncultured bacterium
Lineage: Bacteria
Description: partial 16S ribosomal RNA
Rfam family: Bacterial small subunit ribosomal RNA
Source: RNAcentral